Molecule: long non-coding RNA, 1267 nt
Organism: Rhea pennata
Lineage: Eukaryota; Metazoa; Chordata; Aves; Rheiformes; Rheidae
Exons: 4
Source: RefSeq, a predicted model, not a curated record
CGCGCUGGGCGCUCGGGGACGCGAGGCCCGGGCCGGGCGGGCCCGCAGCCGCCGCGCCCUUUGCUUUUUAUUUUAUUUUAUUUUAUUUUUGAGCUGGGGCCAGCAGAUUAUGUCCUGCCAGCUCUCCUGGAGGAUUUGGAAUACUGUACAGCAAGGCUGAGCGACGGUGCUUUUGGAAUAGAUUCAUGAAAAGGCAUGUCUGAUCCUCAGCUUUUAUGAAUAAAUAUUCAUCUGUGCAUCUUCUCGAACAUUUGUGGAUAAAUUGCCAUGUUGCUAUGCAAAGAGAAGAAGGCUCUGAGCACUACAAAUCAUCUCUGACAAGCCGAUACUGUAACACAGGCUUGUGAGACUAGACACACACAGUAGAGAGUCUUCGUGAACUCCAAAGGAACAGUCAAGGCCUGUGAAAAAGGAUGAAAUGACGAAGAAUGUACUAUCCUGUGACCUUGAAGAUAGAUGUUCAAGUCUUCUCCCUACCAUAGACUUCCUCUAUCUAAGCAAUAUUGUGUUAUACAAGUUGACAAGUGGAUUAGACUGGAAAGAAGAAGCAAUUAUAUUCAGAAGCGUACUUAAAUUGACCAAGCUCCCAUGGACUUCAGUACAAGUCUUUCUGUUAUAAAAGGAACUACUCUGGGUCUAUAGGGAAUAUGUGUUUGCUACAAAUGGUUUUGAGAAGGGAAUUAGACAUUUCCCAUUAGUUCCUUAUACUUAAUGCCCAUCAAGCUUCAGGCCUGUUUAAACAGUUCACACAACUUCUUCCUUGACUCAAGUCCUUAGCCAGAUGUCUAAGCAGUGAUAAAGUGUACAUUUUUAUCCAGGAUUAUGAAAAGUCAGAUGCCACUUCUGCAUGUGUAUAGGUGCUGAUACUGAGUAGUGCUUAUUUACUAUGUCAGUGUUUCUGUAACUUCACCAGUCCAUUAUAACAGUUUAAUGCAGGUGAAACCCAUUUUAUUAUAACAGUUUCACGCUAGUGUGAAUCUAUUAAAUUAGUGUAAAACUCAACAAUCAGUAGAGGUAAAAAAAGGUACAUCAGGUUCAGGAAGGAGUACAUUUUAUACUGUAUUUGUAUAAAAUUGGAGACAUAUAUAGUCUCUGUGAAAAUUGAUAUGAAAGGUAAUCAAGAAUAAUAUACAAUGGUAUUUCACUUUUCACUGAAAGACUGUAACAUGUUUGGCAAAUCUUAUGAAUGGCUCCCAAUACUGUGAAAGAGAUGGCCAGAUUUAUCCUCCACUGGAAUUACAUCAGAAUAAAAUUUGCUUUCGAUUUA